AGCUCCAAGUUUCGAUUUUCUUCAUCAUCAUCAUCAUUAUUAUUAUUGAAUGAAAAAAAAGAGUUUAGCGCCUACCAAAAUACUUAUAUGAUAAAGACGAUAAUGGAUACUGGUGAUCAUCAUCAAGAAAAAGAAACGAAAGAAAAAUUACAAAGAUUUGAAUCUAGAUUUUCAAAUAAAACGAAACGAAACGAAACAAGUCCAACCGUCCAAAACACACUGAUACACGGAUAAUCCAUUAUCUUUGUCAAUAUUGGCUUUUCAAAAAAUAAAUUGGUUCAGAUGAUUGGAAAUUACAAUUUUCAAGAAAAACAGUGAAGAAAAGAAAAAUAAAUAAAUGUUUGCAAAAAAAAAAAUUGGGGAAGGGUUGAACGUCUCUACAAAGUGAAUAAUUAUAAUCAACGAUUGCAAUUAACGAAGAAGAAGAAGAAGAAAAUUCUUAUUAAAAAUGGCCAGGUUUCAUAAUCGAAUCAGGAAUGGCUUGUCGAAUUUCCAAUGUCGAUGGUAAAUUAUUAUCAUUUUCUCCACUUGUUUUUUUUCACCCAAAAUAAAUGUGUUAUCCUAUCUGUCAAUGGACAGAAAACGAUGAUGAUAAUCAUUCAGAUUUUCUCACCCCACCAAUAUAUAUUCUAUGUGUGUGUGUGUGUUCGGGAUCAUCGUUACCAUCAACAACAACAACAACAACAUCAUGGUCGUCUUCAUUAUUUUAAUCAUCGUCAUCGUCUCGCCAUCUCCUAAAAGACCUCCAGACUAUAUGUUGUAGUCGUUGUUUUUUUUUCACAUUCGUUCAUCUUAUUCAUUGCUCUUCAUCAUCACUUGUUGUCGACUAUAAACGACUAUUGGUAAAUGAUGAUGAUGAUGACGAUGUAGAUGAUAAUAAUCGACACAAACCAUCAACCAGUAAAUCUAGUAAAAAAAGGAAAAAGCGCACCUUUUUUUGGAUCCUUUUCCACACAGCAAAUACAAACACACGAUUUAAUCUUUGUUUUGUUGGAGAAAAAAUUGGCGGAUAUUAUUGCACGCACUUGAAACCAAGACACACAACAGGAAAAAAAAACAACAAGGGAAGUCAGACGCUAAAUAUAUGUACUGAAAUGAACUUUUUUUUAAUCAUUAUUUUUUUUACGUUUGUUUGUUUGUUUGUUUGUAGCCAAUCAUUACCACCAUACCAUCAAUCGAUGCUAUUGCAUCAUCAUAAUCAUAUAAUAAUGAUAAUAACCAUUCUUCAUCAUAGAGUUUCAAAUGAAGGUUAUAUAUGGUAUAUUCGUGUUAUCGUCAUUAUAAUAAAUUAUUAUUAUUCACUCAUUGAAAUCGACCACUUUAUUAAGACAGCCAUGAUGAUGAUGAUUUAGAAGAAAAACGAAUAAAGACAAAACAACAACGACAACAACGAAUCGUCUAGACGCCUGAUAAUCUAUAGUGAUGAUAAUAAUAAUGAUGAUGAUGAUGAUGAUGGCUAUAAUAAUGGCCGUUGACCAUUACCGAAUAUAUUUCUUCAUUCAUUCAUUUCAGAUCAUAAUGUACUGCCUCAAAAAUGAAUCAUUAGUAUGUUAAUUUUUUCGUCAUCAUCAUCAUCGUCUUCAUUGUUAUUGUUAAUCAUUAAACGAAAAUAAGUUAUCAAUGGAAAUCAAUGGAAUGAAUGGAUAAUGAAUAAAAUGGAUUUCUGCAUCAUCAUCAUCAUCAUCAUUUUCACGAUAUGAAUGACAUGAAUUCAAUGAUGAUACUAAGGAAAUGAUUAAGAUUCUUCAUCAAUAGAAGA
Dermatophagoides farinae (American house dust mite) is the source of this 1759-nucleotide long non-coding RNA. RefSeq lists it as uncharacterized. NCBI's taxonomy places the organism in Eukaryota, Metazoa, Arthropoda, Arachnida, Sarcoptiformes, Pyroglyphidae. The record is from RefSeq and is a predicted model, not a curated record.